GACAGAGGUGCCGAGCGUUAGGCGGAAUCACUGGGCUUAAAGCGUGUGUAGGCGGGUCGUUAAGUGUCUUGUGAAAUCCCACCGCUCAACGGUGGAACUGCUGGGCAUACUGGCGAUCUUGAGCCACCUAGGGGCAGACGGAACAAGCGGUGGAGCGGUGAAAUGCGUAGAUAUCGCUUGGAACGCCGACGGUGAAAACAGUCUGCUGGGGGUGUGCUGACGCUGAGACACGAAAGCCAGGGGAGCGAACAGG
This 253-nucleotide ribosomal RNA is filed under the name uncultured bacterium. Its description in RNAcentral is "partial 16S ribosomal RNA". It matches the Rfam family "Bacterial small subunit ribosomal RNA", at positions 524 to 776 of the family's 1533-position model. The record is from RNAcentral.